Molecule: long non-coding RNA, 462 nt
Filed under: Mus musculus (house mouse)
Lineage: Eukaryota; Metazoa; Chordata; Mammalia; Rodentia; Muridae
Description: RIKEN cDNA 1700080G11 gene, transcript variant 2 (1700080G11Rik)
Source: RNAcentral
CGGUCUCAACUUGCCAAUUAUGCUUUCCAGAUAUUACAGGGGACUCCGAUUGGCUCUCCCCGAGUCACGUGCUCCCUGCUGGCCAAACAACAGUAGCCUGGAGUGUGAAGGGCUUCAGCUGGUGGCGCUGGCUGCUUGACUUUCUGGAAAUGGAUGCCAUGCAAGGUUGCAUUUUGACCAGGGGGAAGGAGGUCAUUCUUGAGGGUGGCUGGAUCGAUUGUGAGUCUGCCCCAGCUCCAGAGACACGGCAAGUUCAUGGGAUCUCACUCCUAAAUUCAAAAGUUAAGACAAUGAGGACGGCUGUCUUACAAGACCUAAUGGCCCUUGACGUACUAACAGCAGCGCGAGGAGGAACCUGUGCCAUCAUUAGAGUGCUGUGUAUAUAAACCUGACAACUGGGACAAUAUGUCCCCAGUCCUCCAAGAUUUACAUACUCAAAUUAAAUCUCUUGUCAAGCCCUGC